UACAGAGGGGGCGAGCGUUGUUCGGAAUUACUGGGCGUAAAGGGCGCGUAGGCGGCCUGCUAAGUCGAACGUGAAAUCCCUGGGCUCAACCCAGGAACUGCGUCCGAUACUGGUUGGCUUGAAUCCGGGAGAGGGAUGUGGAAUUCCAGGUGUAGCGGUGAAAUGCGUAGAUAUCUGGAGGAACACCGGUGGCGAAGGCGGCAUCCUGGACCAAUUCUGACGCUGAGGAGCGAAAGCCAGGGGAGCAAACGGG
RNAcentral lists this ribosomal RNA (253 nucleotides) under uncultured bacterium. RNAcentral's name for it is "partial 16S ribosomal RNA". It matches the Rfam family "Bacterial small subunit ribosomal RNA", at positions 524 to 776 of the family's 1533-position model. The record is from RNAcentral.